AGAGUUUGAUCAUGGCUCAGAUUGAACGCUGGCGGCAGGCCUAACACAUGCAAGUCGAACGGUAACAGGAAGCAGCUUGCUGUUUCGCUGACGAGUGGCGGACGGGUGAGUAAUGUCUGGGAAACUGCCUGAUGGAGGGGGAUAACUACUGGAAACGGUAGCUAAUACCGCAUAACGUCGCAAGACCAAAGAGGGGGACCUUCGGGCCUCUUGCCAUCGGAUGUGCCCAGAUGGGAUUAGCUUGUUGGUGGGGUAACGGCUCACCAAGGCGACGAUCCCUAGCUGGUCUGAGAGGAUGACCAGCCACACUGGAACUGAGACACGGUCCAGACUCCUACGGGAGGCAGCAGUGGGGAAUAUUGCACAAUGGGCGCAAGCCUGAUGCAGCCAUGCCGCGUGUAUGAAGAAGGCCUUCGGGUUGUAAAGUACUUUCAGCGGGGAGGAAGGGAGUAAAGUUAAUACCUUUACUCAUUGACGUUACCCGCAGAAGAAGCACCGGCUAACUCCGUGCCAGCAGCCGCGGUAAUACGGAGGGUGCAAGCGUUAAUCGGAAUUACUGGGCGUAAAGCGCACGCAGGCGGUUUGUUAAGUCAGAUGUGAAAUCCCCGGGCUCAACCUGGGAACUGCAUCUGAUACUGGCAAGCUUGAGUCUCGUAGAGGGGGUAGAAUUCCAGGUGUAGCGGUGAAAUGCGUAGAGAUCUGGAGGAAUACCGGUGGCGAAGGCGGCCCCCUGGACGAAGACUGACGCUCAGGUGCGAAAGCGUGGGGAGCAAACAGGAUUAGAUACCCUGGUAGUCCACGCCGUAAACGAUGUCGACUUGGAGGUUGUGCCCUUGAGGCGUGGCUUCCGGAGCUAACGCGUUAAGUCGACCGCCUGGGGAGUACGGCCGCAAGGUUAAAACUCAAAUGAAUUGACGGGGGCCCGCACAAGCGGUGGAGCAUGUGGUUUAAUUCGAUGCAACGCGAAGAACCUUACCUGGUCUUGACAUCCACGGAAGUUUUCAGAGAUGAGAAUGUGCCUUCGGGAACCGUGAGACAGGUGCUGCAUGGCUGUCGUCAGCUCGUGUUGUGAAAUGUUGGGUUAAGUCCCGCAACGAGCGCAACCCUUAUCCUUUGUUGCCAGCGGUCCGGCCGGGAACUCAAAGGAGACUGCCAGUGAUAAACUGGAGGAAGGUGGGGAUGACGUCAAGUCAUCAUGGCCCUUACGACCAGGGCUACACACGUGCUACAAUGGCGCAUACAAAGAGAAGCGACCUCGCGAGAGCAAGCGGAUCUCAUAAAGUGCGUCGUAGUCCGGAUUGGAGUCUGCAACUCGACUCCAUGAAGUCGGAAUCGCUAGUAAUCGUGGAUCAGAAUGCCACGGUGAAUACGUUCCCGGGCCUUGUACACACCGCCCGUCACACCAUGGGAGUGGGUUGCAAAAGAAGUAGGUAGCUUAACCUUCGGGAGGGCGCUUACCACUUUGUGAUUCAUGACUGGGGUGAAGUCGUAACAAGGUAACCGUAGGGGAACCUGCGGUUG
Molecule: ribosomal RNA, 1521 nt
Filed under: Escherichia coli O178:H19
Lineage: Bacteria; Pseudomonadati; Pseudomonadota; Gammaproteobacteria; Enterobacterales; Enterobacteriaceae
Description: bacterial SSU rRNA
Rfam family: Bacterial small subunit ribosomal RNA
Source: RNAcentral